AGCCAUGUGACUUGCACACAGCAAACUGUUUUUUCGCCUUUUACUACAGAAUACUGAGUGCUCACUAACAGUGGCAUAUGCCUAGUUUUGGAGGGGCCUUUUGUACGGAUCC
Molecule: non-coding RNA, 112 nt
Organism: Daucus carota subsp. sativus
Lineage: Eukaryota; Viridiplantae; Streptophyta; Magnoliopsida; Apiales; Apiaceae
Source: Rfam